AUGAAUCUCAACCUUCAACAAUCACCAAGAAACUUCAAAAAUACAAUCCGCAACAAUCAUCAUCACCUUCAUAUUCAAGAAUAUUUACUCUCACCUUCAAUCUUCAUCAUGUUUCAUCAUUUGCCUCAACAUCGCAACAUCAUCAACGCGAGUACAAUUCAGAAGAAACAGAAGCAAAGAGUAGACAGACAAGCAGAGUUAUAUGUACCUGAGUUUGUUUCCGGUUCUGCUAUUAGCUCCGUCGUCGGAGCAUCUCCGAUUGGUAAAUCACUCUUCCACUGUCUCCGAUAUUCUCUCCCUUGA
This is a non-coding RNA of Vicia faba (fava bean), 303 nucleotides long. NCBI's taxonomy places the organism in Eukaryota, Viridiplantae, Streptophyta, Magnoliopsida, Fabales, Fabaceae. The record is from the annotation of a GenBank genome assembly.